GCCAAAUGAUAUUAAUCUGGUAACAGGAGCACUUUAGUGCCAGGACAGCUUUAUCUGUCACCCAUCAUUGAUGGCU
Small nucleolar RNA from Pteronotus mesoamericanus, 76 nucleotides. RefSeq annotates it as small nucleolar RNA SNORD83. NCBI's taxonomy places the organism in Eukaryota, Metazoa, Chordata, Mammalia, Chiroptera, Mormoopidae. The record is from RefSeq and is a predicted model, not a curated record. The transcript has a single exon.